AUUGGUGUCAUUGCUCCUUUCAUGUCUUGUUUGUUAGCAAAAACCAGGAUGAUUGCAUUAAGCAUAAAUGGAUCUCUGAUGAUGGCCUGAAAUUCUAGUUUUGCCUUUCCAAUCCUCUCUCGAUCCAAAGAGUCGACGACAUAAAUCAAUCCAUCUGUGUUAUUGAAGUAAUGUCUCCACAGUGGCCUUAAUUUCUCUUGUCCA
This 204-nucleotide unclassified non-coding RNA is filed under the name Hevea brasiliensis (rubber tree). Lineage: Eukaryota; Viridiplantae; Streptophyta; Magnoliopsida; Malpighiales; Euphorbiaceae. The record is from RNAcentral.